Molecule: long non-coding RNA, 3923 nt
Organism: Nycticebus coucang (slow loris)
Lineage: Eukaryota; Metazoa; Chordata; Mammalia; Primates; Lorisidae
Exons: 4
Source: RefSeq, a predicted model, not a curated record
UUUUUACUUUGACUUCCUGGGUGGUGCCUGUGGCUCAGGGAGUAGGGCACCAGUCCCAUAUACCAAGGGUGGCAGGUUCAAACCUGACCCUGGCCAAAACUGCAACAACAAAAAAUUAAUUAAUUACUUUGACUUCCUUAUUUUCAGCCAUUCUGGGUAAAAAAAAUUCAUUGAGUCUUGCUGCACCCCUGGGACCCUAAACCUAGACCCAGAUCCCAUGAGCCAAUGUCUCUGUGAAGUUGAGCAACUUGUGAAUGAUACAAGUACCACGUGGGUAGAAUAGUAUGAUUAUAUCUGUAAACAUUUGCCUGAUUCUUUUCUUCAGAAUGAUCUAGAUUCAAUUAGCAGGUGCCAUAAAAAGGAAACAUCAAUGGGAAAAAUGGAUUAAAGAUUAAACGUGACUGAUCCCAGCAGGAAGCCAGUCUGACUGUUCCCAAGGUGGAAACUUAUCAGAAGAAGGGUCUUGCUCUCUCACCUUGGCCAGGGAGCUGUGGUAUGACUGUUGCUCAUUGUAACCUUGAACACCUGGGCUUCAGUGCUUCUUCCACCUCAGCACCCCCAGUAGCUGGGACAACAAGCGUGAGCCCCCAGACCUGGCUGAGCUAGAAUGUUGACACCGAGGAAAGCCACGGUUAUAAUUAUGUUGUUAUAAACAUGGACACUCUAAAGGGAUCCUGCUGAGGAAAAAGGAGCUCUUUUCUUCUGAUAAUGAGGUGGAAACAGAGGUGACUGAUCCCACUCAGAAGUCAUUCCAAAUGACUGGCUUUGCGCUUGAGAGGAAAUUUGGACUCAGACGAGCACAUGGCAGAAGCCCGCGUGGACGUGGCGGCAGAGCUCAGAGGGAGGCGUUCAGCAGUGGAGAAACCCCAGCCGACGACCAGCAGCUCCGAGGGAGCCUGGGACAGAGUCUCCCCCUCAGCCUUCGGGAGUAACCCACUCUGCCAGCACUUCGGUCUUUGACUUGCAGAAUCCGGAACUGAGAUAUGAGUUUUUGUUGUCUUGACCCCUCCAUGGCUGAAACCCCGGGUGACUUAAUUACAAGGGAGGUGCUGCAAAUUCUCGAGGCCACACACCCAACUGCCUUCUGCCUCAGCAGCCCAACCCUUCUCUCAGCAGCAGCUUCUGGGGCUUCCAGUCUGACCCUGCUUGGGGACCAUGUCUUCCCUUUGUAAGAGGCAGUCAGCAUCUUGCUGUGAGAAUUUCUUUAGAAUGGUCUGGACUCUCCGUCUGGUUGUGGCAACUGAUAGGAAAGAAAAGUGACCUCUCCCAAUCAGAGACAGUGUCUGCUUCCCACAUUCUUCCCUGGGCUUCAGUGCUGGGGGAAUGAGGACCUUCACAAGGGAAGCUGGAUGUGUGAGAAUGGGCCACAUCCCUUCCCUGUUCCAAGCCCCAGGCGCGGGGACCCAGCCUGCUUUGGAACAAGGGACAACCUUGAGUGACUGACGAAGCCAAAGCUUUGAAGUGCACUAGGCUAAGUUUUUUUUUUUUGGUUUUUGACCAGGGCUGGGUUUGAACCCGCCACCUCUGGCAUAUGGGACCAGCGCCCUACUCCUUGAGCCACAGGCGCCGCCCAAUUUUAACAGAUGACUAUUUGGAAACAAAUGGAAGCUGACCAAGUUGUCAUUAAGGGGAGCCCACCUGACAGGACUGAGGCAGUAACUAGAACUCUCCACAGGCGGGUCACUACUUCUGCCCAUUGCCAAGUCAGCUGAGGCCUGGCUGAGGCUUGUGCUCAAAGCUCUCUGGAACUUGUAGAGCUCUUUCAAUAGAGCCAUUACUAAUGGAUUUCACCUGCCUUACCACUGGGCUGGUGAGUAACUGCUGAUGUGGGGGCUAAGAUGAUUUUUCACUUGGUGCCUGGUAUUUAGAAAUUAUGUAGCAUUUUCAGAACUCUUGCACUAUUCUUUGUCAUUUUUAAGGGAAUUAUUAAACUGUAGCUUAAAAUAUGGAGUGCUGGAAACAUCUUCUCUCUCCUAUAGUACUAGAAAAAUACGGUUUUGUUUUCCAUGUUGUUUGUAUUUUCAAAGAAGUAGCUCUUGGAAUUAUUGAUUGGCUCCACUAUUUUACUAAUUCAUUGUGUUCUAUUUUUAUUUUCUAAGUUCCCAUCCAUUAUUUUUAAUAUUAAUUUUGUUUCCUUUCUUCUUCAGUUUAAUACUUAAUUUAUUACGGCCACUUUUCUUUAACAGUGCAAAACUUUAGUGGUAUAAAUUUUCUUCAGAUAUCAGCUUUGGUUGUAUCAGACGUUUGAGGAUAUAGUGGUGUGAUUAUUAUUUAGUAUUAAGUGUUAUGAGUGAGUUUAUUUUCUUCUUUGGCCUAAGAGUUACCAAGGGCAAUGGCCUUUAAUUUGUAAGUGGUUGGUUUUGUUUAUCACAUUGUGACCAGAUUUAUUUAUUUUUUAGAGAUGGGGUCUCUUUGUGUAGCCCAGGCUGGUCUCAACCCACCCCACCCUCAGUCUUCUGAGAGGGGGGACUAUAGCCACCGACCACUGUGCCUGCCAAGUUCCUAUUUUUUAGAAUUUAUAACGAUGUUCUUUGUAGUAUAAUGUAUGACACAUUUUUUAUAUUGCUUUCAUGAGUGUUAAGAAAUAAGUUCCAUUCUCUAUAUAAAGUUGAGAGUUAAUUACUAGCAUUUAAACUGGGCUUACUAAGGACAGAAUUCAGAUUCCCUUUAUGAUUUUUAUUAUUUUUGCCUAGUUGAUCUUUUGAGGAUUAAGAAUGGUAAGAUUCUUCCACUACUAUUAUACUUAUGUACUUUAUUCUUGCCUUAGCAAAUGUUUUUGCUUUAUAUAAAAAAGUUUCAUGGAAAUAAUAUCCUUAAUUUGAGUAGUAUAAUUCAUCAAUAUAAAAUCACCCAGUUUUUUCUUGAAUUAUUUAAAAAUACUUAUACACAGUAUAAUAAGCGUUUGUUGUAAAAUUUUCAGUUAAUACAGACAUGAUAAAUGGAAGCCAAGAUCUUAUUUGUCACUCCCAACAAUUCCAUUCCUCUGAUGUACGAUGGUACCUUAAAGAUUUAUUGGUAUGAUCUUCCAGAUUAAAACAUCCACAUUUAAUUAUUUUUUCACAUUAGAGUUUGUAGUCUACUUUUAUAUUUCAGUAAUAUGAUAUGGAUAUCUGUGUAAUCUUUUAAUGGCUACACAUUACUUAAUUGAAUGGAUUUACCACAAUUUAUUUAAUAAAUCUUCUUUUCUUUUUUUUUUUUUUUUGGGUAGAGGCAGAGUCUCACUUUAUGGCCCUCCGUAGAGUGCCGUGGCCUCACACAGCUCACAGCAACCUCCAACUCCUGGGCUUAAGCAAUUCUCUUGCCUCAGCCUCCCAAGUAGCUGGGACUACAGGCACCUGCCACAAUGCCUGGCUAUUUUUUUUUGGUUGCAGUUUGGCCGGGCCGAGUUUGAACCCACCACCCUCGGUAUAUGGGGCCGGCGCCUCACCGACUGAGCCACAGGCGCUGCCCAUAAAUCUUCUUUUCAAUAAGUAUUCAAGGUAGCGAUGUUUUGCUAUUAUAAGCAAUUUUUAUAGCUUUAGUUGUGUUUUUGUCUAAUAAUUUUGUGACACCUUAUUCUUUGUUUUUAUGUGUAAUAUAUGUAUUUUUGCCCAUUAUUUCUUUCAAACAUACUGCUUUUGAUAACUUGAAAGUAUUUUUUUAAGUUCUCUGCUCAAAUGUUACCUUAUCUAUGAGGACUUCCCUAAGAACCCUUUAAAAAAUCUCUUUCCCCUUCUUCCCCCAUCCAUUUCUGAUUCUCCUUCCUUGCUUUGUUUUUCUGUAUGUUAUUUAGCACUAUCUGACAUUUGUUUAUAAAUUUGUGGCUGUAAUUUGUUCCUCCCUACUCACCCCUACUACAAUGUAAUCUCUACAAGAAGAGGGACCUUUACCUAUUUUGUUCCUUACUUUCUUCCCAGUGUCUGGCAUACAGUAAGUACUCAAUA